GGAAGCGCCAAGCUCACUGGUGGGGCUCCCGGACUUCAAAUCCGGUGCAGGGCACUGAGGGGUGUCCUGGGUGGGUUCGAUUCCCAUGCGCUUCCGCCA
RNAcentral lists this transfer RNA (99 nucleotides) under Deltaproteobacteria bacterium. Its description in RNAcentral is "tRNA-Sec". It matches the Rfam family "Selenocysteine transfer RNA". The record is from RNAcentral. Lineage: Bacteria; Pseudomonadati; Myxococcota; Myxococcia.